GAUGAACGCUGGCGGCGUGCCUAAUACAUGCAAGUCGAGCGAACGGAUAAGGAGCUUGCUCCUUUGACGUUAGCGGCGGACGGGUGAGUAACACGUGGAUAACCUACCUAUAAGACUGGGAUAACUUCGGGAAACCGGAGCUAAUACCGGAUAACAUAUUGAACCGCAUGGUUCAAUAGUGAAAGGCGGCUUUGCUGUCACUUAUAGAUGGAUCCGCGCCGUAUUAGCUAGUUGGUACGGUAACGGCUUACCAAGGCAACGAUACGUAGCCGACCUGAGAGGGUGAUCGGCCACACUGGAACUGAGACACGGUCCAGACUCCUACGGGAGGCAGCAGUAGGGAAUAUUCCGCAAUGGGCGAAAGCCUGACGGAGCAACGCCGCGUGAGUGAUGAAGGCCUUCGGAUCGUAAAACUCUGUUAUCAGGGAAGAACAAAUGUGUAAGUAACUGUGCACAUCUUGACGGUACCUGCUCAGAAAGCCACGGCUAACUACGUG
This 497-nucleotide ribosomal RNA is filed under the name uncultured bacterium. RNAcentral's name for it is "partial 16S ribosomal RNA". It matches the Rfam family "Bacterial small subunit ribosomal RNA", at positions 28 to 507 of the family's 1533-position model. The record is from RNAcentral.